This is a long non-coding RNA of Symphalangus syndactylus (siamang), 705 nucleotides long. RefSeq lists it as uncharacterized. NCBI's taxonomy places the organism in Eukaryota, Metazoa, Chordata, Mammalia, Primates, Hylobatidae. The record is from RefSeq and is a predicted model, not a curated record.
UAUAUUAUUGAAGAGAGGCUUUUUUAUAUCACUACAUCUCAGCUAACACCUCAGUGUUUGGUGGAAGACAUCAUGAAUACAGAGGACUCCUCGGGACUGAGAGUUUUAUGACAUAUUUUCAGGGGAGGUUUUAUGGCCUGCUUCAGGAAAAAUGCUCCAAAUACGUGCUUUCCUGUUCUGCUUUAUGAAAAUGGAACUGGACCCUGUAAACUGUUCUCCUUUGUCAGUGGGCAUGACAUUUGGCUUCGUCAAUAGAAGACUGGUUCUGGUUUCCUAUUUUUUAAAUCAACUUCCACCGCAUUUUCAGGAUAUGACUGACCUCAGACACAGGAAUUCAGAAAUCGCACUGCCUGCCUCUUUGACAUAGGAAAACAGAUACUGGCUCCCCAAACCUAUGAUGAAGAAAGAAGCUGGAAGAACUCUGAGAAGAGUUUUCAAGACCAUGAGUGCCCUUGCCAAAACCCAAUGGAAAAGUCUCUAGAGAAAGAGAGGUCAUAGAAGUUUAAAGGCUCAGUAAAAUUCCACGAAGCAUCAACCUGAAGAAUAACAGCCAUGCAAAAAUAGCUCAUCAUCACUGGUCAUUAGAGAAAUGCAAAUUAAAACCACAGUGAGAUACCAUCUUACGACAGAAUGGUGAUUAUUAAAAAGUCAGGAAACAACAGAUGCUGGUGAAGCUGUGGAGAAAUAAGAACACUUUUACACUGU